CUCAUUCUACUACCAUUAGGAAAUGGAUGUUAGGAUGGAGUCAUAUGAUUGCGAGCCAGGUUUAUUAACUAAAGUUUCCCAUUACUUGCAGGCAGAAACUAAAAAAUCACCAUUUAAGGAAUGUAACUUUAGUAUUAGACGCAAUUUCAAUACGCGCAGAAGCGGCUUAUGAUGUAGCUAAAGACGAGUAUUCUGGCUUUAUCAAUUAUGCGCAGAAGUAAAUUAUAUCCUAGAGACGUCGAACCAAUUCUGGGACAUUCGUAAGCCUUUCGACGUUUUUAAGAAUUCAUUGAGUUCUGUACUAUCUAGGUGAGUUCCGCUUUUCUCACUUCUUUACUGCAUUAAUAAUUUAUUUUCAUGAUUUAGAUCCCAUCAAUAUCAACCUUCGACAAUUCUAUUGCAAGUGUCAUAUUUUGCAUCGUCUAAUAUUUAUAUCACACAAAUCCAAAUUUUCGGCCAUAUUGAUCUGAAAAGUUUUGAUUUUCCAGAUACAGUAGGGGCAUGGAGAGAUAAAACUCUAAUUUAUACAUCAAUUGGUAAUAGCAUAUGAUAAUUAUUCUUCUGGGCCUGGCUCAAUCUCAGGAUAGCAUCAUUUUGUGGUGAUUUUCUCCAACUGAUACAUCGAUGGAUGAAAACACCAAAAUCAGCGGCAAAAUGAAGCGGAAACAAUCUAUUUGUACAAAAAUGUAAUCUACUUCUCAGUUCUCAACAGGGAGUAUCCAUCUAUAUCCAUACGAAAAUGUAAUAAACUUCUAAAUCAAUUUGUAUAUACGUAAUUUAUUCUACAUAUUAUAAUACAUUCAUGAUUAACAGGAUUCAUUUUAUGAUUUACACGUUCAUACUUGCAUAUUUUAUACACUAAUUUAACCACUUUUGCCAUAAUUA
RNAcentral lists this unclassified non-coding RNA (885 nucleotides) under Neodiprion lecontei (redheaded pine sawfly). RNAcentral describes it as "uncharacterized LOC124292772, transcript variant X1". Lineage: Eukaryota; Metazoa; Arthropoda; Insecta; Hymenoptera; Diprionidae. The record is from RNAcentral.